GACGAACGCUGGCGGCGUGCUUAACACAUGCCAGUCGAACGGUGAAGGGACCGGUUUUUGCUGGUUCAGGAUGAGUGGCGAACGGGUGAGUAACACGUGAGUAACCCGCCCCCUUCUUCUGGAUAACCGCAUGAAAGUGUGGCUAAUACGGGAUAUUCUGCGCCUGCUGCAUGGGGGGAGUGGGAAAGCUAUUGUUUCGGUGGGGGAUGGGCUCGCGGCCUAUCAGCUUGUUGGUGGGGUGAUGGCCUACCCAGGCGGUGACGGGUAGCCGGCCUGAGAGGGUGGACGGUCACAGUGGGGCUGGGACGCGGCCCAGACUCCGAGAGGAGGCAGCAGUGGGGAAUAUUGGACAAUGGGGGCAAGCCUGAUGCAGCGGCGCAGCGUGAGGGAUGGAGGCCUUCGGGUUGUAAACCUCUUUCGCGAGUGAAGCAUGCCUGUCGCUGUUGUGGGUGGGUUGACGGUAGCUGGAUAAGAAGCGCCGGCUAACUACGUG
This 493-nucleotide ribosomal RNA is filed under the name uncultured bacterium. RNAcentral describes it as "partial 16S ribosomal RNA". It matches the Rfam family "Bacterial small subunit ribosomal RNA", at positions 28 to 507 of the family's 1533-position model. The record is from RNAcentral.